Molecule: ribosomal RNA, 278 nt
Filed under: uncultured bacterium
Lineage: Bacteria
Description: partial 16S ribosomal RNA
Rfam family: Bacterial small subunit ribosomal RNA
Source: RNAcentral
UUGUCGUUAGUUGCUAACGGUUCCGGCCGAGCACUCUAACGAGACUGCCGGUGUUAAACCGGAGGAAGGUGGGGAUGACGUCAAGUCCUCAUGGCCCUUAUGCCCAGGGCUACACACGUGCUACAAUGGCCGGUACAAAGCGUCGCUAACCCGCGAGGGGGAGCCAAUCGCAAAAAACCGGCCUCAGUUCAGAUUGCAGUCUGCAACUCGACUGCAUGAAGUCGGAAUCGCUAGUAAUCCCUGAUCAGCAGGCAGGGGUGAAUACGUUCCCGGGCCUU